GCCUUCGUGGUGUAAUGGUCAGCACACUAAACAUUCUAAAGGUUCGAGGUUCGAGUCCCGGCGAGGACA
RNAcentral lists this transfer RNA (69 nucleotides) under Stegodyphus mimosarum. It matches the Rfam family "tRNA". Rfam says of the family: Transfer RNA (tRNA) molecules are approximately 80 nucleotides in length. Their secondary structure includes four short double-helical elements and three loops (D, anti-codon, and T loops). The record is from Rfam by way of RNAcentral. Lineage: Eukaryota; Metazoa; Arthropoda; Arachnida; Araneae; Eresidae.